GCCGCCUGUCCUUAGCCUCCGCCAUGACGACUGUGUCCACCUCGCAGGUGCACCAGAACUACCACCAGGACUCAGAGGCCGCCGUCAACCGCCACGUCAACCUGUAACUCUAGGCUUCCUACGUUUACCUGUCCAUGUCUUACUACUUUGACUGCGAUGAUGUGGCUUUGAAGAACUUUGCCAAAUACUGUCUUCACCAAUCUCAUGAGGAAAGGGAACAUGCCGAGAAACUGAUGAAGCUGCAGAACCAAGGAGGUGGCCGAAUCUUCCUUCAGGAUGUCAAGAAACCAGACUAUGACGACUGAGAGAGCGGGCUGAAUAAAUGUGAAUCGGUCACUACUGGAACUGCACAAACUGGCCACUGACAAAAAUGACCCCCAUUUGUGUGACUUCAUUGAGACACAUUACCUGAAUGAGCAGGUGAAAGCCAUCAAAGAAUUGGGUGACCAUGUGACCAACUUGCGCAAGAUGGGAGCACCCGAAUCCGACUUGGCAGAGUAUCUCUUUGACAAGCACACCCUGGGAGACAGUGAUAAUGAAAGCUAAGCCUCAGGCUAAUUUCCCCGUAGCCAUGGGGUGACUUCCCUGGUCACCAAGGCAGUGCAUGCAUGUUGGGGUUUCCUUUACCUUUUCUAUAAGUUGUACCAAAACAUCCACUUAAAUUCUUUGAUUUGUACCAUUCCUUCAAAUAAAGAAAUUUGGUAC
This is a non-coding RNA of Chlorocebus sabaeus (green monkey), 705 nucleotides long. NCBI's taxonomy places the organism in Eukaryota, Metazoa, Chordata, Mammalia, Primates, Cercopithecidae. The record is from RefSeq and is a predicted model, not a curated record.